GACAGAGGUGCCGAGCGUUAGGCGGAAUCACUGGGCUUAAAGCGUGUGUAGGCGGACUUCUAAGUACCUUGUGAAAUCCCACGGCUCAACCGUGGAACUGCUUGGUAUACUGGUCGUCUUGAGCCACCUAGGGGCAACCGGAACAAACGGUGGAGCGGUGAAAUGCGUAGAUAUCGUUUGGAACACCAAUGGUGAAAACAGGUUGCUGGGGGUGUGCUGACGCUGAGACACGAAAGCCAGGGGAGCAAACGGG
RNAcentral lists this ribosomal RNA (253 nucleotides) under uncultured bacterium. Its description in RNAcentral is "partial 16S ribosomal RNA". It matches the Rfam family "Bacterial small subunit ribosomal RNA", at positions 524 to 776 of the family's 1533-position model. The record is from RNAcentral.